RNAcentral lists this long non-coding RNA (1521 nucleotides) under Ursus americanus (American black bear). RNAcentral's name for it is "lncRNA (ENSUAMG00000022461.1)". Lineage: Eukaryota; Metazoa; Chordata; Mammalia; Carnivora; Ursidae. The record is from RNAcentral.
CCCACAAACAGCAAGGCUGGACAGGCAAAGCGGGAAGAAGGGACGUGCUCCUCUCGCCACUCCUCUCUCUUCCCCCACAUCCCUGAGUCUAUUAUUCAAGCUCCUAGGCUUCCUUUUAUACCCCCCCCGUUAAGCAAACCGGGCAGCAUGUGGACAUCAGCACAGACAGACACACAGGCAUCCAAAUGUACCUACCCGCUUCUGCAGCCAGGAUCCAGAUCACCUCCAGCAGCAGAGGGAAGAACAACAUGGUAUCCCUGGAAGAAGCAGGUCCUGGGACUUUGGGGACUUGAGGACUAGGGUUGGCGGAAAAAGAGUGGGGUGGGGGGAAGAGGGAAAGAGAGAGAGAGAAGGAGAGGGAGGAAGGAGGGGGGAGGGACAGAAAGAGAGAGGAGUUUCUUGGAGCUGAGCUGAUUGUAUUUAUCUCUUUUUCUCUUGCUGUCUCUGUGUCUCUUCGGGCUUCCAGGGGAUUUGGUUUUCAGUAGGGUACCUAAUGUUUUGGGUCCCUAGGACAAAUCUCUCGCUGCCCCACUCUUUUUUAAUCUACCUCUAUGGUCUUCACUCCACUUGCUGGCCAGCAACCUCACAAUUGCCUCCCGCUUUUAAGGUGGCUCUGGACGAGUGUACGUGCUGGGGAGGGGGGUGCUGCCUGGGUUGCUGGUGAACAGCUCCUUAAAUAGCCUAUUAGGCAUGCAGAGCUGGAGCAUGCCGCGGGUUCGCGGGAGCCCUGGCCCUGGCUCAGGAGCCCAGCUGGGGUGAGCUCUUCCUUCUUCUGCUCUUUGCAUGGGCACUGUCCAGGUGGGUGUCCCCUGGAGUGGGCCUGGGGCACGGACGGAAGGCUUGGGGAUCCAAUCCAGCCCCCUCAGGGGGACACUGUGUUCUCAUUCCCCGUCUGGCUUCUCCGAGGAGCAACUCCCCGGGGUGGCAUGGAGCAGUGGGUGGGAGGACCUUUUCCCUGUCCCCUGAAGAAUUUGAACUGCCCCGGAACAGGAAGAGUCCAGAGUUUGGAGACAGCAGUUGGGGACUCAGGGUGCAGGUGGAGGGUAGAAAGUCAAGCGCUAAAACCUAGCUUGUGGAAAAUAAAGAAGAGAAGUGAGUCAAGAGAACUUGCUUGGAGCGAUCUCUUCCUGUGCCUGUCACUACCCCCUUCCCACGGGUCACCAGCCCUGAGGAUGCACCCAUCCGAGCUCCCUCUGCGCUCAUCCCUCCUGCCAAGGAGCAAGAAAUAGCCAAAACAAAGGGAGCAGAAGCUAAAUAAGGAGCAGGAUAAAGGCCGAAGGAACAGAGUGAUGCAUGUGCUCGGUCAUCAGUGCCUGCUGAGGCAGGAGCGGCCCUGCCUUUCCGGCCCCUGUGACUGAUCUGCGAAGCAAAACCGUUUGGCAGAUGUCAUUUCCUUCUUCAUUUUCUCAUCACCCUCAGAAUUAUUUUUCCCUUACAGGCGCAUUUUAUGUUUUGAGAUUCCCCCAGAGCCCCACCCCUCUCAUCUAAGCGGAAUAAAAGGCAGGAAGUGUCAACUAGACA